AUUGAACGCUGGCGGCAUGCCUUACACAUGCAAGUCGAACGGCAGCACGGGAGCUUGCUCCUGGUGGCGAGUGGCGAACGGGUGAGUAAUACAUCGGAACGUACCCUGAAGUGGGGGAUAACGUAGCGAAAGUUACGCUAAUACCGCAUAUUCUGUGAGCAGGAAAGAGGGGGAUCGCAAGACCUCUUGCUUUAGGAGCGGCCGAUGUCGGAUUAGCUAGUUGGUGAGGUAAAGGCUCACCAAGGCGACGAUCCGUAGCGGGUCUGAGAGGAUGAUCCGCCACACUGGGACUGAGACACGGCCCAGACUCCUACGGAGGCAGCAGUGGGGAAUUUUGGACAAUGGGCGCAAGCCUGAUCCAGCCAUGCCGCGUGAGUGAAGAAGGCCUU
This 389-nucleotide ribosomal RNA is filed under the name uncultured bacterium. Its description in RNAcentral is "bacterial SSU rRNA". It matches the Rfam family "Bacterial small subunit ribosomal RNA", at positions 30 to 418 of the family's 1533-position model. The record is from RNAcentral.